Molecule: long non-coding RNA, 204 nt
Filed under: Spirodela polyrhiza (greater duckweed)
Lineage: Eukaryota; Viridiplantae; Streptophyta; Magnoliopsida; Alismatales; Araceae
Description: long non-coding RNA (SPOL_LNC002194)
Source: RNAcentral
AACUCGUUUGUGAGAUCCUGAAAAUCAUUUUCCAUUAACUCACGAAAUUCAAUAUUAACUUUUGUUCAAAUUUUGGAGCUAACUGCUUUGCUACAUGUGCCUAUACUUAUAUUGAAAUCUGACAUGUUUUUGACCAAGCUUUAAUAUGCUUACAACCACUAAUGAAGCAAAAUUGUGUGUUGCCCUUGUGUCAAUUGAAACUAG